Molecule: ribosomal RNA, 436 nt
Filed under: uncultured bacterium
Lineage: Bacteria
Description: bacterial SSU rRNA
Rfam family: Bacterial small subunit ribosomal RNA
Source: RNAcentral
UCGAGCGGGCGUACAAUACGUCAGCGGCAGACGGGUGAGUAACGCGUGGGAACGUACCUUUUGGUUCGGAACAACACAGGGAAACUUGUGCUAAUACCGGAUAAGCCCUUACGGGGAAAGAUUUAUCGCCGAAAGAUCGGCCCGCGUCUGAUUAGCUAGUUGGUGAGGUAACGGCUCACCAAGGCGACGAUCAGUAGCUGGUCUGAGAGGAUGAUCAGCCACAUUGGGACUGAGACACGGCCCAAACUCCUACGGGAGGCAGCAGUGGGGAAUAUUGGACAAUGGGCGCAAGCCUGAUCCAGCCAUGCCGCGUGAGUGAUGAAGGCCCUAGGGUUGUAAAGCUCUUUUGUGCGGGAAGAUAAUGACGGUACCGCAAGAAUAAGCCCCGGCUAACUUCGUGCCAGCAGCCGCGGUAAUACGAAGGGGGCUAGCGUUG